RNAcentral lists this ribosomal RNA (1048 nucleotides) under uncultured bacterium. Its description in RNAcentral is "bacterial SSU rRNA". It matches the Rfam family "Bacterial small subunit ribosomal RNA", at positions 97 to 1144 of the family's 1533-position model. The record is from RNAcentral.
GGCGCAAGGGUGCGUAACACGUGGACAAUCUGCCCUCAAGUUGGGGAUAAUCCCGCGAAAGCGGGACUAAUACCGAAUGUGGUUUUGGAUUGGCAUCGGUUUAAAACCAAAGCUGGGGACCGCAAGGCCUGGCGCUUGAGGAUGAGUCCGCGACCUAUCAGCUCGUUGGCGGGGUAACGGCCCACCAAGGCAAAGACGGGUAGCUGGUCUGAGAGGACGACCAGCCACACUGGAACUGAGACACGGUCCAGACACCUACGGGUGGCAGCAGUCGAGAAUUUUUCACAAUGGGCGCAAGCUUGAUGGAGCGACGUCGCGUGGGGGAUGAAGGGCUUCGGCUCGUAAACCCCUGUCAGUUGCGAACAAACCUCGUGGGUGAACAGCCUACGAGUUGAUGGUAGCAACAGAGGAAGGGACGGCUAACUCUGUGCCAGCAGCCGCGGUAAUACAGAGGUCCCGAGCGUUGUUCGGAUUCACUGGGCGUGAAGGGUGCGUAGGUGGUUGAGCAAGUCUGAUGUGAAAGCCCCGGGCCCAACCCGGGAAUGGCAUCGGAAACUGCCCGGCUAUAAGGUUUGUAAAAGGGAAACACUGAAAUUCCCGGUUGUACACAGUGAAAUGCGUAGAUUAUCGGGAGGGAACGCCAGGUGGCGAAGGCGAGUCCCUGGACAACACCUGACACUGAGGCACGAAAGCUUGGGGAGCAAACAGGAUUAGAUACCCCUGGUAGUCCAAGCCGUAAACGGUGCACGUUUGCUGUGGGCGGAAUCGACCCCGUCCGUGGCGGAGCCACGCGUUAACGUGCGCCUGGGGAGUACGGUCGCAGAUUAAACUCAAGAAAUUGACGGGGCUGCACAGCGGUGGGAGUAUGUGGCUCAAUUCGAUGCACGCGAAGAACUACUGUCUGACAUGCACGUGGUAGAGCCUGAAGGGCGACGACCCCAAGGGGGCGUGCCAGUGCUGCAUGCUGUCGUCACUCAGUCUGGAUGUUUGGUUAAUACCGCACAGCCAACCCUGCGUCUUGUUGCUACCGUCGAGACUGAACCUGAGA